This 584-nucleotide small RNA is filed under the name Pongo abelii (Sumatran orangutan). Its description in RNAcentral is "processed transcript". The record is from RNAcentral. Lineage: Eukaryota; Metazoa; Chordata; Mammalia; Primates; Hominidae.
AAGACUGCCACUCGAGGCCGGUCGGUAGAGUUGGGGUUUCACCAUGUUGGCCAGGCUGGUCUCGAACUCUGGACCUCAGGUAAUCUGCCUGCCUUGGCCUCCCAAAGUGCUGGGAUUACAGGCGUGAGCCACUGCACCCAGCCAAGUCCCCCUGUUCAUAAUUACUUUGUGAUCUCAGCCGUGCUCACCCUCUCUGGGGCUCAGUUUCUCCUGUGAAAUGGAAACUGACCUCAGUGUUGAAGCACUUGCCAUUCUGAGGUGCCUGGACAGGGUCAGCCAGCAGCCGGCCCGGGGCGUCGGCCACCCCACCCAAGUCCCCGGUCUACCUGGACCUGGCCUACCUGCCCAGCGGGAGCAGCGCCCACCUGGUGGAUGAGGAGUUCUUCCAGCGCGUGCGCGCGCUCUGCUACGUCAUCAGUGGCCAGGACCAGCGCAAGGAGGAGGGCAUGCGGGCCGUCCUGGACGCGCUACUGGCCAGCAAGCAGCAUUGGGACCGUGACCUGCAGGUGACCCUGAUCCCCACUUUCGACUCGGUGGCCAUGCAUACGUGGUACGCAGAGACGCACGCCCGGCACCAGGCGCUG